This 402-nucleotide ribosomal RNA is filed under the name uncultured Gigaspora. RNAcentral's name for it is "bacterial SSU rRNA". It matches the Rfam family "Eukaryotic small subunit ribosomal RNA", at positions 1428 to 1831 of the family's 1831-position model. The record is from RNAcentral. Lineage: Eukaryota; Fungi; Glomeromycota; Glomeromycetes; Diversisporales; Gigasporaceae.
GCGUUAGCGAUGGAAGUUUGAGGCAUAACAAGUCUGUGAGGCCUUGAGGUCGGGACGCACGCGCGCUACACUGAUGAAGUCAUCGAGUACUUUCCUUUACCGGAAAUAUAGGUGAUCUUUUGAGACUUCAUCGUGAUGGGGAUAGAGCAUUGCAACUAUUGCUCUUCAACGAGGAAUCCCUAGUGAGCAUGAGUCAUCAGCUCGUGCUGAUUACGUCCCUGCCCUUCGUACACACCGCCCGUCGCUACUACCGAUUGUAUGGCUUAGUGAGACCCUCGGAUCGACGAGUGGAAACCUUCACGGGUAUCUAUUUGUUGAGAAGUUGGUCAAACUUGGUCAUUUAGAGGAAGUAAAAGUCGUAACCAAGGUUUCCGUAGGUGAACCUGCGGAAAGGAACCAUUA